UUUUUAACUGGAAUGAGAAAAUAUUAAAAAUAAUUAUUAUAUCAAUUUUUUUUGUUACACAGUCCACAUUCACCGUACAACAAAACAAAUCCCCCAACGACUAUUGCUUUUUCUCUUUUCAUAUAUACCUGUGUACCCCCAUCACCCAUCGCCUUUUGCAAUGGAGGAUGUGGAGCUGUGUGUAUUUGGCAAUAACGAAUACUACCCUUGUAAACGGUAUAUUCAUUAAUAUAAUCCAUCGCAUCAGUAUUUGGAUUUGUAGUUUCGUAAUACCGUCAUUAACUAGCUAGUUACUAUGUGCUCCCUAGUCUAUAAUAACAAUUCUUGACAUCGUAAGCAUUUUGAUUAAUUGAUUGUCUUGUAGCUAGUUUCCUUCACAUUUUGACAUAGAGAGCGCGAAGGGCUCCGUUAAAUGAGUUCCCAACAAAAUGAAUCAAAGGCAGUGCGAGUUUUCGUGGGGUUUAUUGGAAUCUGUCAAUUAAAAAUAAAAUAAAAUAAUAGAAUAACAACAGGAAGGAAAAAAGCUAGCAUGUCAUUUGUUAAGUGUGAGAUUGGUAGUAAAUUGGAGAACUGCUUAUAAACAGUCUUUCCGGUUCGCUAGUAAUGGUGUCCAAAGGGAGUGUAAAUUAAAAGGGUGGAUAAGUCUCAUCUCAGCAUGGAACCUAAAUAAAUUAUUGUUUAGCAGGCAGAAUUGUUAUGAGGGAAGAAG
Non-coding RNA from Schizosaccharomyces pombe (fission yeast), 709 nucleotides. Lineage: Eukaryota; Fungi; Ascomycota; Schizosaccharomycetes; Schizosaccharomycetales; Schizosaccharomycetaceae. The record is from the annotation of a GenBank genome assembly.